UCCGCCCCUCGAGGCGUUGCAGUCUGACUGUACGUGUUGAGCCUGUGUGAUGAGGGGCGGAGAGUGAAAUAUAGAUGUAUAUGCUGAGGACCCAGAACGGUGGGUACUUGAAAUGAUCAUAGCUCUGACAUU
Salmo salar (Atlantic salmon) is the source of this 132-nucleotide non-coding RNA. The record is from Rfam. NCBI's taxonomy places the organism in Eukaryota, Metazoa, Chordata, Actinopteri, Salmoniformes, Salmonidae.